UAGCGUAGGCGGUCUUGCAAGCCAGAGGUGAAAGGCUAUGGCUCAACCAUAGUGAGCCUUUGGAACUGCUGGACUUGAGUACAGGAGAGGAAAGUGGAAUUCCUAGUGUAGCGGUGAAAUGCGUAGAUAUUAGGAGGAACACCAGUGGCGAAGGCGACUUUCUGGACUGUUACUGACGCUGAGGCACGAAAGCGUGGGGAGCGAACA
This 207-nucleotide ribosomal RNA is filed under the name uncultured Eubacteriales bacterium. Its description in RNAcentral is "uncultured Clostridiales bacterium partial 16S ribosomal RNA". It matches the Rfam family "Bacterial small subunit ribosomal RNA", at positions 568 to 774 of the family's 1533-position model. Lineage: Bacteria; Bacillati; Bacillota; Clostridia; Eubacteriales. The record is from RNAcentral.